This is a long non-coding RNA of Sphaerodactylus townsendi, 534 nucleotides long. RefSeq lists it as uncharacterized. The record is from RefSeq and is a predicted model, not a curated record. The transcript is spliced from 5 exons. NCBI's taxonomy places the organism in Eukaryota, Metazoa, Chordata, Lepidosauria, Squamata, Sphaerodactylidae.
GCCGCGGCCUCGUCUGGAGCGCUACGUGCAGUUCUGGUCUCCAUAUUGUGGAGCUGGAAGACGUGCAGAAGACGGCGGCCAAGACGAUCAAGGGGCUGGAGCACCUUCCCCUGGAGCGAAGUCUGGAGCGUCUGGGAGUUUUCAGCUCAGAAAGGAGAUGACGCAGAGGAGACAGGAUGGUGAACAACUUGUACCAGAAUGAUGUGAGUGGCCGAAGAAGACGUUUUAGUCGUCCAUUGUGGGGUGGAUAAUCAGGCUCCAGAGAAUGUCUAGACCGCGACUGAGAGAGUCGCUGAAAUGGCUCCCAGCCACGAUGCCAGAGGAGGAAAUGCCUGUGGGAAAGAAUCAGAAAAUGGCAGGUGGCACCGAGACCCAAACUGAAGCAGCAGAAAAUGGCAGGUGGCAGCAGCCGAGAAAAUAGGUCAGAGUCUCAACUGGUGCUGUCAUAACCAAGAACAAUUCUGGAACAGGACUUUGGACUACCUUAUUCCUCCACUCCACUGUAACAGGAAUGUCUUUCAAAUAUAUUCUGAU